This is a non-coding RNA of Paramuricea clavata, 600 nucleotides long. The record is from the annotation of a GenBank genome assembly. Lineage: Eukaryota; Metazoa; Cnidaria; Anthozoa; Malacalcyonacea; Plexauridae.
AAUAACAAAAAAUAACAAAAAAAGCAAAGCUCCGAACGUUCAACUAUUUAGAGGUCCCAAUAAAUUAAUCGUAUACACAUUUAUUGUCGUCUUAUUUCUUCCACAAUUUGAUGUCUGAUUUGCUAUAAUGAAACUAUUAAUUAGACUUUUCCAUAUGUUAAUCAACCCCAAAUCAAUAAUCAACCCCAAAUCAAUGCUGGCUAUACAUUACAAAAUAAAUUUCGCUGUCACUAAGUCUUGAGCUGGAAAGUAAAACAAAAAACUGCACUAUACGGGUAUAACGAAUGUCCAUGUCCGUUGGAAUUACCAUUAACAGUUCUGAAUCAUGCUUAUUAUAUUAAUAGCAUUUCUGGGAGCUUUGAACGAGGUAAUAUCCGCCGUAUGAUGAAUUAUGACAACAUUUCUUUUUUCUUGAGUUGUAGUUGUGAUAUCCACAGCAGGCCGAACCUUUAGAUUUCAACAACAGAUUGUAGCCACAACAAAUAUGAGUAGAGGGAUUGUAGUUGAUUGAUCCACAACAAUAAAUGCCCUUCGAUUUCAGAAGGAUAUGACCUUUGCAGCACACACGGCUUCUCUUGUCAUAGAUACUUGAGGAACAGC